UUCUGCUUCCCGACUGCUGAUGCAAUGUGACCAGAAGUCUCACAUUCUUGCCGCCAUGGCUUCUCUACCCUUAAACUGUGAGCCAAAAUCAAUCCCUUCUUCCUCCAGUUGUUUUAAUUAGGCAUUUUGUUACAACAUUGGAGAAAGUAACACAGGGCAGUAACACCUUCCUGAAGUAGGAAUUUCUGGUUUCGCUGGAGAUUCAAUUGUGUCAUGUGAUGUUUUUCUAAAAGUUGUCUUAUGAGAGGAGGCUUUGCUGAGAACAGACAAGUGGUGUUUUUCUGGAAGCUACCUGGUAAAGGGGUAUGUAGUGUUUUGCCAGAGUGGAUGCUUGAGAAGGCACAUAAUGCUUGGAAAGAGUAUAAGAAUAAUCCAACAGGACUCUGGCAUUGGUUCACCUUGCUGGUCUUCAUUGGUCUUCACUGAUGCUGGUCUUCGCUGAUGACACUCUUAUAUUGGUUUGCCUUGCUUUCUUCUCUGAUCUUGGCUUGUUGUGACUUCAUAAAGAGAAUUGCACCAAAGAACUUCUGGUGGUGUUUCAGCUGCUUCUUGCUGAUUCUGCAUACUUGUACUGAUCAGAUCAGCAGUGGAGCCUUGCAGUUUCUUUUGAUCAAGCUGCUGCUGUUGAUUCGUAUUCAGGGUUUUGCUAGUGGACUGGACUUUUGACAAUGAAGAUUGAAACUGUAAGAAUAAAAAUGUUUUAGUUAACUCCACUACAAGCACUCAGAGACCUACUCAUACCCAGUCUGGGGGCAUGGCCUCCUGUUCCAAGAAAUAGGCUAACCAAAAGUCCAUCUGGCCUGGAUUAGGGCUGGUUCAGUAAUUCUGAGAAAGACAAGAGCAAGAAAAUGGUUUGCUUAGAUAAGUUGACUAAACUUGUGUUAUAGAUAGAGUAUGCCAAUUUGAAUGAGCCAUUGAAAUUGUUACGUGCCUAUUGCUUCCCGCCUGAGUGAUUUUCUCUAUAAAAUGAGCCCCCAAAUUGAGUUCAGGGUCGAAUUCCUCUGCCCCUGCAUGGGAUACGAGUCUCGACCCCAGUGCACUGGUUCCUAUCUAUAAACCUCAUAUGAUUACAGCAAGGAAGGUCUUACGUGAGUUCUUGGGGGGUUGCAUCAUCCUGAGACUUAAAUGAGGGUCUCCCCGCUCUGAGGGUCUUUCAUUUGGGGGCUUGUCCAGGAUCGGCGACCACCCUCAUCUCCGAAGACCCACUUGGAGGCACUUUGACUGAUUCUGAAUCUUGGCUACUGUGUGUGGAAACACCUAGAUAUGCAGUCCUCUUUUCCGUGCUGGUUUCAUUUCCUCUGGGAAUAUACUCAUGAGUGAAGUGGCUGGAGGAAACCAUUUAAAAGGGAGAAGACUGAAGUUGUUACAGGGUAAGAAUGUCCUGACUGAUCCCAGCAUGGGAGAACACAAGAAGAAGACUCACUUUGAGGAGAGCCAGGCAAGUGGAGAGUCUCAGGAUUUUCUAUGAAGCCCCUUCAGAUCCUGCCUGAACUGGAAAGAUAAAGAUAAUCCCUGCCUUGGGAGCAGAGUUAGUUCCUGAGGUCGUCAGCCCGCGCAGAGCAAACCUGCCAGUUCCAGUUUAUAUUGUUUCCUGGCUGUGUGGGUCUCCGACAUCAAGACGAUGAUGAAGAGUCAUGGAUUGCACCAAUUUGUAGUUUGACUAACAUAACAGCACACUAUAUGGAAUGGCAUGCUGGUGAACUGGUUGAGGCUGAAUUUCUGUUGGAUGAUGCGACUUCUGCCCAACAGACUCUUCUGGGUACUGUGGAUAUUGCUGACAGUGCUUGACUGUGGCUAUCAAGUUAAUGCACAACUGCUCCAAAAGCUUGGCUAACCAAGUCCUGACCAUGACUUUUUAUGGAACAAAGGCUUCUGCAUGGAAAAGUCACCUGUGAGCACAGGAACGUGACUCAGGCAAAUUUGCAGUCACUUAAGAGGUAUACCCCAUGUUUGACUGAGGAGGGAAGACCCGCAUUGUGUUUGGGUGGCAUCAUCCCACUGAAGUUCUGAACAAAAAGGAGAAAGCAGGACUUCUAUUCCAUUAUCGCUGGGCAAAUCUGUGGAAAAUAAGUUUCUGAAAGUGGAUGGUGAGGAGAUGGGGCCAUAACUGAAGGACGCAUCUAUGAAAGGAGAGAAAUUCUGGCAUAGCACCCUCCAGCUGUGCCACAGAGGGUCACAGUCCUGCUGCUGCUUGCUCCUGUCUAUUUUUGUCUGCUUCCAAAUCAGAGGCCUAGAAGGGGCUUCAGAAGCUUGUUGCCUUCAUGCUCAACUUCAGAGGCAAGCACAUCGACCGAAUUCUAAAAGACUUGCCAGUGGAAAGCACUUCAAAACCAGCCAACAAAUAUUUGUGAUUACGAUGUGCAUGCAAUAGCUUCCAAAGAAUGUGGAAAGCUAUACCAUCCAUACCCCAGGAAUUUUCUGUGCUACUGAGAGAGAUGCACAGAUAUGCACAAAACAUCCAUCGAAGAGUCUCAAAUGUAGCGCAUGUUUGAAGGUUGAAUGUCUAGACCAUCACAAAUACGUAUGUUCCCCACCUGUGUGUGUGUGUGUUUCUCUGUGUGAGUGUGCAUAUAAAGAGCAGAGAACUUCAGAUGUCAUCCCCUCAGGUGCUGCCAACCUUGUUUUUUGAGACAAGGUCUCUCACUUGGGCUGGCAUAACUGGCCCAAGGAUCAGCCUGUCUUUUCUCCAGGUCUAGGACUACAAGUAUAUAUACCUGACAUUCUACGUGGAUUUUUUGGGUUCUGGAGAUCUCUCUUUGGUCUUCCUACUUCUAAGGCAGGCACUUCACUGAUGAAGCUAUCUCCCUAUGCAAACAUGCAUUCUUGACAUCCUUUUCCUUUGACCCUGUUGUUUGCUGCUGGGGAAUUCUAAUUGUAACACAUUCCUCCCAGGUCUAAAUUCUAAAGUACUGAAUGCAAGAUGAUUAUGUCUCAAAGGUUAAGUAACUGUUUAAAUAGCCUAGACACAAAUUCCACCAAUUAUUAAUGUAAAUGAGGUUUUUUUUUCUCUUUUCAUGUUCAUACUUAUAAAAUGGAAAGGUAACAGCAUGUUCCUCAUUGGGUUCCUCAUAGGUGAGUUAUGGGUUGUUCAGACUAGUGCCUGAUAUAUAGAAAACUCACAUCAGAUUAAAUGAUAUUUGCCCAAUAGUCAUUCACAUAUUUGAUGACACAUUAAUGUCCUCUUUCAUCUGCUUAGUUCUGCUUGUUCUUUUUUUCCCUGUGUAACUUCAUCAUUGUGUGACUAAUGACAAAAUCAUUUAACUAUUGAUCUCAGAAUAAGAUAGUAAACCCACUCAGUCCUUUCUGUUAGGUUUUAAUGUCAUCCUUACUCCAAAUGUGAUAUAAAUGGGGGAGGGGGCUCAGCCAUGUUCUAAAUAAUUCAUGUUUGCAAGAGUGUUUCACCCAAAGACAUGAGCAGAACAUGGCACUAAUCCUCAAAGGCCUUGCUUCCAGUGUGAAGAGCAGACAGAUAAAUAGCCUUCCUGUCUCUGGCUAAGUGUGAAGGGCUAAUUGCUAAUCGUCUCACAUUGGAGAAAAACCUUCAGUUGAAAUGGAAGCAGCAAAAAGGAAAACCAAUCCCCAGGGGAAAGAGAAUUUAGAAAGAAAAGAGAACUACAACACCCUACCAAGCUCCAGCUGCUACCUACAAAGUCUGGAGAAGACACUUUGCCUCAUGAAGGUACAGAGUGUGUAACAGUGUAACAGUGUAACAGUGUAACACUGAGAGUUGGCUACCUGGAGACUGAACUCAGAUAACUGGGGCACUGAGUACAUUUCAUGAUAGCAUGUUCCAAACCUCAGCUUUGUUCUCAACUUCAGCUUCCAAUUUUGUAAAAUGCUUGAGUUCUCCCAUGAUGAAAACUAUACUGUGUACCUACCAAUGAUCAAGCCUAAAUCAUUACUCAGUGCUCAUCUUUUCAGAACAUGUCCAGUUUUUCCUUGCAGAAAAGUUCCAUGUGGAUGUGCACAUGUGGACGUACCCACAGGUAUUCAGUUCUGUUCUGUUUUACAAACUGCCAUCUCCUUAGCAAUUCAUGUUGUAGUGGAGAUAGGAUCAACUAAGCACAGAAAAACUGUAAAAUUUAUUUAAUUUACCAAUGGGAACCCUAAGUCCAGAGAUGCUUCUAAGCUGACUUGGAAGUCCAAAUUACAUGCCUUAAACCUAUAGACAUUAAAGUCUAUCUCUCAAAAGGCAUAGAAAGACAGAGAACACAAUGUAGAAAAGGGUGUCCAGAAAAACCUUUUUAAAAAUUAAUUUUUUAUAGGUAUGAGUGUUUGGUUUGCUUCUAUGUUUGUGAUUACCAUAUGUAUGCCUGGUGUCUCUGAAGAUGAAAAAAGACACUGGGUUCCCACGGAAAUGGAGUUAGAGAUGGUUUUGAGCUGCCAUAUGUGUGCUGGAAACUGAACCUAGAUCCUCUGGAAGAAAAAGCAACGCUUUUAACCACUGAGCCAUCUCUCUAGCCUUCCAGCUGAGCCUUUGCUGAGGGUGAAUGAGGAUUGGCACAGCAGAGCUUCUUGCUUUUGACUUAGGGUAGAAGGAAUUGUGUCAAGUGUCAAUAAACCACUUGAGGCAUAAGUGCUUAAGAUCUGACUGGUGACGGAGGAUAGAUGAAAAACACCCCUGUACAUGAACAAGAAGACCGUACUGUACAUAAGACGGACCACAAAUGACAAAGAAAAGGUUAGCACUAACUCCUUGAGGUCCUGGUUAGCAUGCUCUAGAGCUUCAGGGAAUUCUAUCUGUGCCAUUAAAUAGAAUGGGCUGUGUUACAAAAAGAACAGAGACAAGACUGAACAGUGCCUUUGAAAUCACCUCAUAAUAAUUGAGAAACAUUCUUUCCAGUAAUGUUUUCCUGCCUGCAGUAGAUAAAUAACAAAGAAUAGAGAAAACCCCAAAACAAAACUCAACAAGAAGCUAGGAAAGUAUUGUAUUUUGUUUUUUAAGUGGUUAUAGAAGUAAUAUAGUGGGUUAUGAUUUUAUUAUUUAUCUUGCCUACAUAUGUUUGACUUUUCUAU
RNAcentral lists this small RNA (5016 nucleotides) under Rattus norvegicus (Norway rat). Its description in RNAcentral is "uncharacterized LOC102548408". Lineage: Eukaryota; Metazoa; Chordata; Mammalia; Rodentia; Muridae. The record is from RNAcentral.